This is an RNA transcript of Myxocyprinus asiaticus (Chinese sucker), 5425 nucleotides long. It is a transcript of the gene named cytosolic 5'-nucleotidase 1A-like, with no coding region annotated. The transcript has 2 exons. NCBI's taxonomy places the organism in Eukaryota, Metazoa, Chordata, Actinopteri, Cypriniformes, Catostomidae. The record is from RefSeq and is a predicted model, not a curated record.
AAUGUGAAUUCAGGUGGUAUAAUUGUAAUAUUUUUUAUUGUAGCCUACUAUUGCCUACCUUACAUUUUCUAACACACAUGGACUUUUUUCCUAGCAUAUCAUAAUGAGAGAGAGAAAAAAAAGCUGGCAGACUCAAAAUGUUCCACACAAAUUCUAAUCCCUAUCUGAGGAAAGAAAUUAAUCAUAUAGACAUUUGUCACACUGUGAAUUUGGCGACAAUAUAAGUAGAAAGUUCUGCUGCUGAAAUCAGUCUGUGCUUACUGAAAUUUGAACCACUGCCCCCAGUGGCCAAAGCUGGAAGUGUUCUUGAGGUGUAAUGUCCACAGAGUGGCACGAAAAGCAAGUUGUAUUUUUAGUUGUAAGUGAUGUACAGUAAACAGUAAUGCAUAUUUUAUAACCUCUGCCUCAUAACCCAAACCCUAGUCCUAAACAUAACUGUUAAAUUGGAGUAAAAAUGUAAUUCUAGAGCGAAAAUGCAACCACUGAAUCGCACUCACCAUUGUUUAUGUGAACGCAAGUACUUCCUUGUUUUCACGGGACUGGAUCCCAUGUCGUCUUGGAGUGAACGUAAUUACUUGGUUUCCAUGGGACCAGAAUCUGUGUCCCAGAGAUUGCUCGCGCAACACAAUGUUAAUUUCCCAUGUGAUCAUGUUUAUGUAAGCAAAAUAUUAGCGUGAUGGACUGAUGAAACUGACAAACUAAGUGGAUGAGUAGCAUGUAAUAGAGUGAAAAAUCAGAUUAACUGUUUGCACCCAGGUGUAAAUAACACCUGCCACACAGCAUGCUGUUUGCACCCCAAUAGUCUAUUAGAAACAUAGAAAUGUAUGACAAACUGCAUUGUGAGUAUCGCUUCAGUGGCAUGGGGCGUAACGCCGGUGAGACUGUUCUUUUUCGACCCAGGUUCGAUUCGCAUUUGUCACACUCUCUACCCCAUUCUCUUUCAUGUCUCCUUUCUUAAUGUUUUCUUUAAUAUUACUUAUAAUAAUACUGUACAGAAAAAUAAAUAUAUAAGGUAGUUUUACUAUAGUAAUAUUGUAGCAACCAUGUUUUUGGCAGAAACCAUAGAUUUGAUGCAAUUAACAAGUGUUACUACAGUAAUAUGGUGUUUAUAUAGUAACCAUGUUUAAUUUUAUGGUAACUAUGAUUUUACUACAAAAUACCAUGGUUAUACUAUGGCUACUGUAGUAAAACCAUGAUUCAUUUUUGUAAGGGAAAGUUAGGGUAUCUGUGGGACUCUAGGUGUGUGUCCGUGGGACACUAAAUAAACACAAUAAACACGCUGCAGUGAUGCCCCUAUACUGUUAGUAUUUCAUUAGGUGCGCAAAUAGAAUCUGCCACUAUUUGCACUGUGGUGUAAAUAGCAUCUACCUUUAUUUGCAUGAGGGUGCAAAUAGCAUCUGCUGUAAAAAUAAAAAUUGGCAUUUAGCAAAAAAUAAUAAUAAUUUGCACCCUUAAUUGAUUUAAUUUGACUUUGAAACUAUGUCCCACUCUCUAAUUUAUAUAUUUAUGACCAAUUAAUAAGUCUUAAGCAUGCGAUGGAAAUAACUACAUGAUUCUUGAAUAUACAAAACUGUAAAUUCAGAGUUCUCGUUGUUCUGACCUAUGUUUUCCUCGAAGAUAAAUCUCCAGCUGGCCAAUCAUAUCUUCCCACAGAGAUGCAUGUGACACCUCUAACCUCUGUAUCACAAACCAGCCACUUCCUGCCCAGUUCCCUACAGCGCCCCAGCUGGACUGGUUUUGAUCAUUCCGAUGGCUAACUCAAGAAAAAACAAACAUCAGUCCAUCCUUUGGCCUCUCUAUGGACAAAAUAACAAAUAUGCGGAUAUGGACUGACGUUUCCAUAACCAUGUGAAGUCAGAACUCUGUGAUCUGAAACAAAAAAGAUAUUGGUUACAGUAGCUAAAAUAAAUCUGACCCAUUAUUGCAUAGAAGGCAGCAAAACUUAUUUAAAGAAUAAAGUAACAAGACAUGCCUUGAACUCAAGCUGUACAAUUAAUGUCUAUAUUGUUUGGUUAUGAAACAAAUCUAGCAGAAGUAUAUUCAAUAUUAUGUUAACUAAAAUCAACCAAGAGCAUGUUGAGAAGGUUCCCAGUGUUCCACUGCUAAUCUCAUUAGGGAACAUGUUGUAUUGUGCUGUAAUAAACACUCUACCCCAAAUCUCCGGAAAGAGUCCAGUCAGCAGAAACAAGCAGCCUAAUACUGAGCCGCCCUCUUCUGAAACUUUCUAAAUACUCUCAUCUAGAGUAUUCAACCUUCUCCUCCUCAAACCUUUUCCAUUAUUGUUGUCUUUUUGAUCCAUCACAGUCUUUUAGUCUCAUUUAAGCCCAUUUUCGGUCUCUGUUCCAAAUUGCACCUUGUUCCCUUGUGGGAAAACUUGGCUUGACACUGUCAUGUAAACCACACCUGCUGAUGAUGAUGUCCUAAAUUGAGCUGGCACUGCUCAUGCACUUAUGUGUCACAGGCUAAAAGGGGCACAUAAUCCCAACAUUACCACCAGUCUAAGCUUUCCGUCUGUUAAACAGUUCAACCGACAACUGUCAACUGCGGUGGAUUGAUUAAAAUAUGAGUAUAUGUAGACAAUAAACAUUAAUCAAGAUUAAUAAAAGCUGUUGUUCAUUGUUAGUUCAUGUUUAUUAUUGCAUUAAAGGAAUGUUCUGGAUUCAAGUUAAGCUCAGUCGACAGCAUUUGAAAGAUAAUGUUGAAUACCACAAAAAUGUAUUAGACUCGUCCAUGGCUUAUUAAAAAAAAAGAAUAAAAUAAAUAAAUAAAUUGCAGUUACAGUAAAAGGCACUUAACAUGGAAGUGAAUGGGGCCAGUGAAUAAUCAUUAAUAUACAUACGGUUUCUGAUUGAUGAUGAUUUUAGUGUUAUAAAAUCAGGGAUUUACAGGCAUUAAAGCUUUUACCAGAUUACACGGUUUACUGACAUUUCGUCAUCAUGACAACAAAGUUGUAAUACUGUAUAUAACGUAACAGAUUAGGUUAGUAAGUGAUUUUAUCACACUAAAAUUAUGUUAAAAUGUUUAAUGUGUAUGUUUUGUGGAUAUACUUUUGAAACAGUGUGUAUUUGAAUGUUUAUGGACUGGCCCCAUUCCCCUUGUCAUGUGUAUUUUGUUGGUUCAUGUUUUUCAUGUCUUUUAUUUUGAAAUUCUAGUUCCUGUUUCAUGUCAUGUGGUUCCCUUGUCAUGUGACUUCAUGUUUCCCUCCAUGUUCUUGUGUCUUGUUUUUCAUUGGUUGAUUGUCUUAUCUUGUUUAGAGUUCUUUCUGUUUAUUGGUUAUCUUUGUCAUGUGUUCUCCCAUGUCAUGUAUUUAACCCUCAUGUUUUCCAUGGUCCAUUGUCAGUUAUUGUGUGUUUAUGUAAUGUUGUCAAGUCAAGUCCAGUCCAGUCUAGUCCAAUCCACGUUUAUGUUUUUUGGAUUUCACGUUUGUAAUAAACUGCACUUGGGUUCUUCACAUCAUCUCGUCUUCAUUUGCCUGUCAUUGCCAGCAUCGUUACAGAAACGAUACAGAAUACCUGACAGACGCAAUAUGAACCCAGCAAUCCAGCUUCUUCGACUUCACCAGGGGAAUCGUCCCCUGGAGGAUUAUGUGGAGGACUUUUGCGCUCUGGCAUGCCGGGUGGACUUUAAUGAGGUUGCCCUCAAAUACAUUUUCCGUUUUGGAUUAAAUGAGCCAAUCUCUUCACUGAUGCCAGGGGGUCAGAGUACCCACAGCCUGGCUCAAUAUAUCGACCUCGCCCUGCAGAUUACUGGUUCCACGUUCACUGUGGGGGAGGUGGAUGCCGAGCCAGAGUUCCACGUCCUGGCCGCCGAGCUAGCGCCAUCUUUUGCCCCGGAUCCUCAGCCUGCUUCAUGCCACGGCACAACAACGCCUCAGCUUGCUCCAUGCCACGUCACAGCCACGCCUGAGCCUGCUCCAUGCCACGUCACAACCACGCCUGAGCCUGCUCCAUGCCACGUCACAGCCACGCCUGAGCCUGCUCCAUGCCACGUCACAGCCACGCCUGAGCCUGCUCCAUGCCACGUCACAGCCACGCCUGAGCCUGCUCCAUGCCACGUCACAGCCACGCCUGAGCCUGCUCCAUGCCACGUCACAGCCACGCCUGAGCCUGCUCCAUGCCACGUCACAGCCACGCCUGAGCCUGCUCCAUACCACGUCACAUCCACGCCUGAGCCUGCUCCAUGCCACGUCACAUCCACGCCUGAGCCUGCUCCACGCCAUGUCAUAACAACAUCUGAGCUAUUGGACCUGGAGAUGGUUCCCGCCCUUGUACCCACCCUUAGUUCUCCUGAUCAGGCAAGUGGAACUUUCGACCCUCCAAGCCCUGGACUCCGCCUUGGCCUGUCGAUCCCUUGACACCACAUCGGCUCUACGUUCCCUCGGCUCCACUGCGGUCCUUCAGCCUGUCGGCUUUACCGGGGUCCCUCGUCCCUCCAGCUCCACCUUGGUCAGUCAGUCACUUGGCUCCCCUUGAGCUCUCCUAUCCCACAGCUACGCUUCAUCACUCCGAGCCUGCGGCUCCACCGGGGACCUCCUUCCCUACGGCUCCACCUUGGUCCUCAGUCCCACUGGCUUCGCCUCAGUCUUCCGAUCCCCCAGCUCCGCCUUGCUCCUCCGAGCCUCUGGCGCCACCUUGGUCCUCCCUGCCCUUAGUGGGGGGGAUAUGUCAUGUGUAUUUUGUUGGUUCAUGUUUUUCAUGUCUUUUGUUUUGAAAUUCUAGUUCCUGUUUCAUGUCAUGUGGUUCCCUUGUCAUGUGAUUUCAUGUUUCCCUCCAUGUUCUUGUGUCUUGUUUUUCAUUGGUUGAUUGUCUUAUCUUGUUUAGAGUUCUUUGUGUUUAUUGGUUAUCUUUGUCAUGUGUUCUCCCAUGUCAUGUAUUUAACCCUCAUGUUUUCCAUGGUCCAUUUUCAGGUAUUGUGUGUUUAUGUAACGUUGUUUAGCUAAAUCCAGUCCAUGUUUAUGUUUUUUGGAUUUCACGUUUGUAAUAAACUGCACUUGGGUCCUGCGCAUCAUCUCGUCUUUGUCUGCCUGUCACUGCCAGCAUCGUUACACCCUUCUAUUGUAAGUCCCUUAUUGUAACUGCAAUUUUCGCUUUAAAACGAGGGACGAGUCAAAAUUAUGCCACAAAUACUGUUGAUUAAAUAUUAACUUAUACAACUUAUUGUAAAGUGUUAAUGAAAUGUUCAAAACAAUGUGGUCUAGGCUGGCCCCUGUCUAUAUGCUAAUAACUGGCGCUCAUGAAAAUGUUAACUGCUAAUUAAUAUUCUUCUCUUGUCCUUAGAUCUAUUCAUUGAGCGGUUCUGCAUGACAGGAGGUAGCAGUCCCAUUGGGUACCUGAAAGCAUGGCAAACAAACCUGUAUCUGUCUGCUGAUGCUGAAAAGGUUCAGGAAGCUCUUGCUGAAGGAAUUGCAGCAGCCACCAUGUUUAUG